Grammomys surdaster is the source of this 104-nucleotide small nuclear RNA. Lineage: Eukaryota; Metazoa; Chordata; Mammalia; Rodentia; Muridae. The record is from RefSeq and is a predicted model, not a curated record.
GUGUUUGCUUUGGCAGCUCCUGUACUGAAAUUGGAAUGAUACAGAGGUCACCACAGCCCCUGGGCAAGGGUGACAUGCAAAUCCGUGAGGUGUUCCAUAUUUUU